This 315-nucleotide unclassified non-coding RNA is filed under the name uncultured fungus. RNAcentral's name for it is "partial contains small subunit ribosomal RNA, internal transcribed spacer 1, and 5.8S ribosomal RNA". The stretch from base 1 to 73 matches the Rfam family "Eukaryotic small subunit ribosomal RNA", at positions 1759 to 1831 of the family's 1831-position model. The record is from RNAcentral. Lineage: Eukaryota; Fungi.
UCAAACUUGGUCAUUUAGAGGAAGUAAAAGUCGUAACAAGGUUUCCGUAGGUGAACCUGCGGAAGGAUCAUUAACGUAUCUCUGACGGCUCGGGCGUGCCCUGCUCCGGCCGGAAUGGCCGUGCAGCGGGUGCUCCCGAGACGCUCAACCUCUGCAAACCCCACCGUGCACCUUUGUCGGCAGAGGGCCCAGCGCCCCGAGCCGGAUCGCAAACCCCUGAAUUGUAAAGAACGACAAGCGGACAGCGUGCCGCCUAAACUAUUAACAACUUUCAACAACGGAUCUCUUGGCUCUCGCAUCGAUGAAGAACGCAGC